AGAUGCUGUUUAGCUUACUUAAGGAAAUUUUCAAAGUCUGCUAGAAUUUUGUUUGAAAGUAAACAAGACUUUUUUAUGCAAAUUAAUAAAAAAUUUGAACUUUAAUAAGUGUUUUAUUGUUCCAGUGAACAAAUAACGUGAAUUAUUGCCUCAGCAGCAAAAGAAAAAGCUGUUAUGACCAAAAUAUUUAGUUGUAGAAUGAAUCGCAAGAUAGGACUAUGUUUUAUUCAUUGUUUUGAAUACCGGAUACAAAAAAGUGAUAAUAUCACAGCAUAUUAAUAGGUAACCCAAGUAUUGCUGAAUCCAUGCGAAGGGUAACAAAGACAGGUAUUACAACAUUACGUUAACUUAUUUUUUUGGUAGGUGGUGGCUCACAGAACAGUGAAACUAAGGCCAUUGCAUUUAAAAAAUUUUAUCGCUCCAUGGCAAAACAAAAGCUGGCUCUUCAAGACAGUUCUAAAAUCUAAGAUUUAGUGACGCAGUGAAAUUUCAAGUUGAUAAGAGUGUGUAUGUAAAAAAGAUGUAUUUCAAUAAACCAUAACACAUAACUAA
This 552-nucleotide long non-coding RNA is filed under the name Daphnia pulicaria. RNAcentral's name for it is "uncharacterized LOC124326806". The record is from RNAcentral. Lineage: Eukaryota; Metazoa; Arthropoda; Branchiopoda; Diplostraca; Daphniidae.